Molecule: non-coding RNA, 74 nt
Organism: Myotis brandtii (Brandt's bat)
Lineage: Eukaryota; Metazoa; Chordata; Mammalia; Chiroptera; Vespertilionidae
Source: Rfam
GGCAGUUCUCGGGUUACACACCCCAGAAUCGGCUCCCUCCUCUCUGGUUCUGGGUGCAUCACCUGGGAACCACA